AUGUCCUUGUGUUAUUUGCUGAUUGUAUUUUUAACCAAGAUCAGUGAUUGUCAAAAAGGACAAAUAUUAAAACAGCCAAUGUCUCGUUAUUGUUUGAAAAUGCUUAUAUAAAUGGCCUUUAAACAUUUCCAUACGUUGGUUACAUUU
Molecule: small nucleolar RNA, 147 nt
Filed under: Lucilia cuprina (Australian sheep blowfly)
Lineage: Eukaryota; Metazoa; Arthropoda; Insecta; Diptera; Calliphoridae
Description: Small nucleolar RNA psi18S-1377
Rfam family: Small nucleolar RNA psi18S-1377
About the family: psi18S-1377 is a member of the H/ACA class of snoRNA. This family is responsible for guiding the modification of uridines 1377 and 1279 to pseudouridine in Drosophila 18S rRNA.
Source: Rfam by way of RNAcentral